GAAAUGCGAUAAGUAAUGUGAAUUGCAGAAUUCAGUGAAUCAUCGAAUCUUUGAACGCACAUUGCGCCCGCCAGUAUUCUGGCGGGCAUGCCUGUCCGAGCGUCAUUUCAACCAUCAAGCCCCCGGGCUUGUGUUGGGGACCUGCGGCUGCCCGCAGGCCCUGAAAACCAGUGGCGGUCCCUCCGCGACCUCCCCUGUGCAGUAGCGAUACCUCGCAGCGGGACAGCGGUCUGACCACGCCGUAAAACCCCCAACUUCUCAAGGUUGACCUCGAAUCAGGUAGGAAUACCCGCUGAACUUAAGC
This 304-nucleotide unclassified non-coding RNA is filed under the name plant metagenome. RNAcentral's name for it is "partial contains 5.8S ribosomal RNA, internal transcribed spacer 2, and large subunit ribosomal RNA". The stretch from base 1 to 105 matches the Rfam family "5.8S ribosomal RNA", at positions 50 to 154 of the family's 154-position model. The record is from RNAcentral.